CACCACCACAGAGUGAGACUUCCUGGCAGACCUGCUUCCUUCUCCUAGAUCCACCAGUUCAUGACUGUCCAAUGUUUUCUUCUUGAUACAGGAGGGCCCAGGAAAAAGGGACAAAGACCUUGAUUUCCUUCUCAGGGGAUGCUGCCUCUUACCACUGGCUUGGAGAGGGUGGAGCUCCCACGACCCACGUUUGAACUGAGGCUCAAUUGGCAGACGCUGGGGAUUCGUAAGCUGGUAGUGGAGGCGCCAUCUUCCCCCAGAAAACGUCCUGUCCUGGAGACAAUUAAAACACUUGGGAGCUCUGAAGGGAAUAAAGCAUUUUAGCCUACCCUACGACAUAAGGGUCUUCUGGUGUUCCACAAAAAGUAUAAUGAUCUCCAGGAGCUUUCCUGAACAAUUUUGAGAGAUGGACAUUCAACUUACAAUAUAAGUGAAUAAGUCAUGGUUGUCUUUAUACAGCUAGAGCUUCAGAAUACUACUUGGUCAUUUGAUUGGUUUCAAGAUAUAUGCUAGUUCUAUCAGCAACAUACUUGCAAACCAUUUCCAACUUCAAAAAUGGUUAUUUGCCCUGCUGUUGUCACUGUGGUUGUGUUGCUUUACUAGGUUUAGUCUCAGAGGGUGACACUCGUAGCCAUGUCCACUUAUGGACUUGUUUGCCUAGCCAGUUACCACAAGACAGUGGAAAUACUAGGGGCCUAGGGUCCAGUUCUGUCCCUGUCCCUAACUUGCUGGGUCAUCUAGGACUAGUCAUUUGUCAUCUUCUUCCCCCAAACGUGCUGCUACUCUUCCAUUAAUGCCUCUGUGAAGGGCAUCUAUGGGAGGCUGAGUAAUGGCCCCCAAAGAUGGCCCUAAUCCCUAGAAACAGUAAGUGUUACUUUUCUUGGCAAAAGCAUCUUUGCAGAUGUGAUUAGGAUCUUUAGAUGGGGAGAGUAUCCUGGAUUAUCUGAGUGGGCCCUAAAUGCAAUUUUAAGGGUCCUUACAAGAUGGUGAAGGAGGGAGAUUUGUAUCAGAUACACAGAGAGAAGGCAAUGUGACGAUGGCACAGAGAGAGGUUUGAAGAUUCUGGCCUUCAAGACUGUAGUGAUACCACCACAAACCAUAGAGUGACAGUAGCCACCUCCAUACUUGUCCUUUCAGUUCAGCUCUCAGGCUGCCACCAGAGGGGUUUUUCUAAAAUGUUGAUCUGAUCGCAUGAUUCUGCAGUGAAAAUCUUUCAAUGGCACCUUACUGCCUGUAAGAUGAAACCCUAACUCCUCGGCCUGACCUGAGAGGCC
Long non-coding RNA from Rhinolophus ferrumequinum (greater horseshoe bat), 1274 nucleotides. RefSeq lists it as uncharacterized. The transcript has 3 exons. Lineage: Eukaryota; Metazoa; Chordata; Mammalia; Chiroptera; Rhinolophidae. The record is from RefSeq and is a predicted model, not a curated record.